This 1381-nucleotide ribosomal RNA is filed under the name Staphylococcus chromogenes. Its description in RNAcentral is "partial 23S ribosomal RNA". It matches the Rfam family "Bacterial large subunit ribosomal RNA", at positions 1544 to 2925 of the family's 2925-position model. The record is from RNAcentral. Lineage: Bacteria; Bacillati; Bacillota; Bacilli; Caryophanales; Staphylococcaceae.
CACUCAUUAAGGUCAAGCUGUGAUGGGGAGAGGAAACAUGUUUUCCUCGAGUCGUUGAUUUCACACUGCCGAGAAAAGCCUCUAGCUAGAAGAUUGGUGCCCGUACCGCAAACCGACACAGGUAGUCAAGAUGAGAAUUCUAAGGUGAGCGAGCGAACUCUCGUUAAGGAACUCGGCAAAAUGACCCCGUAACUUCGGGAGAAGGGGUGCUCUUUGAGGUUCACGCUUCGAAGAGCCGCAGUGAAUAGGCCCAAGCGACUGUUUAUCAAAAACACAGGUCUCUGCUAAACCGUAAGGUGACGUAUAGGGGCUGACGCCUGCCCGGUGCUGGAAGGUUAAGAGGAGUGGUUAGCAUUAGCGAAGCUACGAAUCGAAGCCCCAGUAAACGGCGGCCGUAACUAUAACGGUCCUAAGGUAGCGAAAUUCCUUGUCGGGUAAGUUCCGACCCGCACGAAAGGCGUAACGAUUUGGGCACUGUCUCAACGAGAGACUCGGUGAAAUCAUAGUACCGGUGAAGAUGCCGGUUACCCGCGACAGGACGGAAAGACCCCGUGGAGCUUUACUGUAGCCUGAUAUUGAAAUUCGGUACAGUUUGUACAGGAUAGGUAGGAGCCUUAGAAACGUGAGCGCUAGCUUACGUGGAGGCAUUGGUGGGAUACUACCCUAAUUGUAUUGGAUUUCUAACCCGCAACUCUUAUCGAGUUGGGAGACAGUGUCAGGCGGGCAGUUUGACUGGGGCGGUCGCCUCCUAAAGUGUAACGGAGGCGCUCAAAGGUUCCCUCAGAAUGGUUGGAAAUCAUUCAUAGAGUGUAAAGGCAUAAGGGAGCUUGACUGCGAGACCUACAAGUCGAGCAGGGUCGAAAGACGGACUUAGUGAUCCGGUGGUUCCGCAUGGAAGGGCCAUCGCUCAACGGAUAAAAGCUACCCCGGGGAUAACAGGCUUAUCUCCCCCAAGAGUUCACAUCGACGGGGAGGUUUGGCACCUCGAUGUCGGCUCAUCGCAUCCUGGGGCUGUAGUCGGUCCCAAGGGUUGGGCUGUUCGCCCAUUAAAGCGGUACGCGAGCUGGGUUCAGAACGUCGUGAGACAGUUCGGUCCCUAUCCGUCGUGGGCGUAGGAAAUUUGAGAGGCGCUGUCCUUAGUACGAGAGGACCGGGAUGGACAUACCUCUGGUGUACCAGUUGUCGUGCCAACGGCAUAGCUGGGUAGCUAUGUAUGGACGGGAUAAGUGCUGAAAGCAUCUAAGCAUGAAGCCCCCCUCAAGAUGAGAUUUCCCAACUUCGGUUAUAAGAUCCCUCAAAGAUGAUGAGGUUAAUAGGUUCGAGGUGGAAGCGUAGCGAUACGUGGAGCUGACGAAUACUAAUCGAUCGAAGACUUAAUCAA